CAGCUGGACAACUUUUAACCCAAACAACAGUGGGGCGAAUCUUUAACCAAACAGUGGGACAACAAUUUAACCAAACAACAGCAGGACGACCUUUGAGCCAAACAACUGUAGGACAACAGUCCAACCAAACAACAGGACCCUUCUACCCAUUUGGAACUGGAGACAUAGUAAAUGACCGGUUGGAUGAUGGCAGUUCAUCUGUUAUCACUCUUCAGCAACCAUUUAUAUAUUUUGGAACCACAUAC
Molecule: long non-coding RNA, 245 nt
Organism: Silurus meridionalis
Lineage: Eukaryota; Metazoa; Chordata; Actinopteri; Siluriformes; Siluridae
Exons: 6
Source: RefSeq, a predicted model, not a curated record